UACGGAGGGUGCGAGCGUUAAUCGGAAUAACUGGGCGUAAAGAGCUCGUAGGUGGUUUGUCGCGUCGUCUGUGAAAUUCCGGGGCUUAACUCCGGGCGUGCAGGCGAUACGGGCAAACUGGAGUGCUGUAGGGGAGACUGGAAUUCCUGGUGUAGCGGUGGAAUGCGCAGAUAUCAGGAGGAACACCGAUGGCGAAGGCAGGUCUCUGGGCAGUUACUGACACUGAGGAGCGAAAGCAUGGGUAGCGAACAGG
Molecule: ribosomal RNA, 253 nt
Filed under: uncultured bacterium
Lineage: Bacteria
Description: partial 16S ribosomal RNA
Rfam family: Bacterial small subunit ribosomal RNA
Source: RNAcentral